This 256-nucleotide ribosomal RNA is filed under the name uncultured bacterium. Its description in RNAcentral is "partial 16S ribosomal RNA". It matches the Rfam family "Bacterial small subunit ribosomal RNA", at positions 96 to 353 of the family's 1533-position model. The record is from RNAcentral.
CGGCGGACGGGUGAGUAAUGUCUGGGAAACUGCCUGAUGGAGGGGGAUAACUACUGGAAACGGUAGCUAAUACCGCAUAACGCCGCAAGACCAAAGAGGGGGACCUUCGGGCCUCUUGCCAUCAGAUGUGCCCAGAUGGGAUUAGCUAGUAGGUGGGGUAACGGCUCACCUAGGCGACGAUCCCUAGCUGGUCUGAGAGGAUGACCAGCCACACUGGAACUGAGACACGGUCCAGACUCCUACGGGAGGCAGCAUG